GGGGGUGUAGCUCAGUGGUAGAGCGCGUGCUUCGCAUGCACGAGGUCCCGGGUUCAACUCCCGGCUUCUCCA
This 72-nucleotide transfer RNA is filed under the name Eschrichtius robustus (grey whale). It matches the Rfam family "tRNA". From Rfam's summary of the family: Transfer RNA (tRNA) molecules are approximately 80 nucleotides in length. The record is from Rfam by way of RNAcentral. Lineage: Eukaryota; Metazoa; Chordata; Mammalia; Artiodactyla; Eschrichtiidae.